CCAGACUCCUACGGGAGGCAGCAGUGAGGAAUAUUGGUCAAUGGGCGGGAGCCUGAACCAGCCAAGUCGCGUGAGGGAUGACGGCCCUAUGGGUUGUAAACCUCUUUUGCCGGGGAGCAAAGUGCCGCACGUGUGCGGUUUGGAGAGUACCCGGAGAAAAAGCAUCGGCUAACUCCGUGCCAGCAGCCGCGGUAAUACGGAGGAUGCGAGCGUUAUCCGGAUUUAUUGGGUUUAAAGGGUGCGUAGGCGGGAGAUCAAGUCAGCGGUAAAAGUGCGGGGCCCAACCCCGUCGAGCCGUUGAAACUGGUUUUCUUGAGUGGGCGAGAGGUAUGCGGAAUGCGUGGUGUAGCGGUGAAAUGCAUAGAUAUCACGCAGAACCCCGAUUGCGAAGGCAGCAUACCGGCGCCCAACUGACGCUGAGGCACGAAAGCGUGGGUAUCGAACAGGAUUAGAUACCCUCGUAC
This 464-nucleotide ribosomal RNA is filed under the name uncultured bacterium. Its description in RNAcentral is "bacterial SSU rRNA". It matches the Rfam family "Bacterial small subunit ribosomal RNA", at positions 331 to 793 of the family's 1533-position model. The record is from RNAcentral.